RNAcentral lists this ribosomal RNA (256 nucleotides) under uncultured bacterium. Its description in RNAcentral is "partial 16S ribosomal RNA". It matches the Rfam family "Bacterial small subunit ribosomal RNA", at positions 99 to 353 of the family's 1533-position model. The record is from RNAcentral.
CGGACGGGUGAGUAACGCGUGGGUAACCUGCCUUGUACUGGGGGACAACAGUUAGAAAUGACUGCUAAUACCGCAUAAGCGCACAGUAUCGCAUGAUACAGUGUGAAAAACUCCGGUGGUACAAGAUGGACCCGCGUCUGAUUAGCUAGUUGGUAAGGUAACGGCUUACCAAGGCGACGAUCAGUAGCCGACCUGAGAGGGUGACCGGCCACAUUGGGACUGAGACACGGCCCAGACUCCUACGGGAGGCAGCAUG